Molecule: long non-coding RNA, 728 nt
Filed under: Olea europaea subsp. europaea
Lineage: Eukaryota; Viridiplantae; Streptophyta; Magnoliopsida; Lamiales; Oleaceae
Source: RNAcentral
UCUGAAUCUUUCUAGCAAAUCUGUGGAAACUGCCUUUAUCUUUCACUGAACGGAUUGAAAUUAUAAUGUUAGAAAAAUGAAAACAGAAAAAGCAAGAAACUUGAUAGAUAUGGUUUCACUUAUCUACCUAAACAUUCCCAUUUUUCAGAUCUUCAACUUGAUUGCUUAUCAAAAAACUUCUUGAAGAAAUCAAUACUACAAAAAGGUUUGAUACAUCCUUUUUUGACUCCUAUAAACAUUAUGAAAUGGCAUUCAACCAUGGCUAAAUUCUGGAUAGGGCCACCACUGUUAGAAUCUGAAUGCAUUUAAACAUAACAAUCCUUGAAAAGAAACACGUCUUUGAGCAAACUCAAAUUAUUUCAUGCAUGUAUAUACCUUUGAUUCUUUUGCACCUCUUUUUGUUGCCUCCUUUCCCCUAAAUCCAUGCCUUUAUCAAAAGCCCCUUCUUUUUCUCUUUAUCAUCAUAUAUAUAUAUAUAUAUGAAAUACUUUAAUAUUUCCUUUAGACAAGAAACAGCUAAAUGAAAUAGUUUGAAUUGACCAGCUAACAAAGAUACAACUAGGCCCCCACUAGUUUUACGUGCGAUUCAUCUGGAAAAUGAAAAAAUUGUAAAAUCUUUCUUCAUGUUAUGUGUCUGAUAACUUUAAUUCCCUAGCUAAUGAAAAGUGAUACACAUAUAUAUCAUAUAUUUUACGCGUGGAUAACACAAAGCUCCACCAAAGCUAAAU